RNAcentral lists this ribosomal RNA (750 nucleotides) under Bacillus sp. (in: firmicutes). RNAcentral's name for it is "bacterial SSU rRNA". It matches the Rfam family "Bacterial small subunit ribosomal RNA", at positions 56 to 791 of the family's 1533-position model. Lineage: Bacteria; Bacillati; Bacillota; Bacilli; Caryophanales; Bacillaceae. The record is from RNAcentral.
UGCAGUCGAGCGAACUGAUUAGAAGCUUGCUUCUAUGACGUUAGCGGCGGACGGGUGAGUAACACGUGGGCAACCUGCCUGUAAGACUGGGAUAACUUCGGGAAACCGAAGCUAAUACCGGAUAGGAUCUUCUCCUUCAUGGGAGAUGAUUGAAAGAUGGUUUCGGCUAUCACUUACAGAUGGGCCCGCGGUGCAUUAGCUAGUUGGUGAGGUAACGGCUCACCAAGGCAACGAUGCAUAGCCGACCUGAGAGGGUGAUCGGCCACACUGGGACUGAGACACGGCCCAGACUCCUACGGGAGGCAGCAGUAGGGAAUCUUCCGCAAUGGACGAAAGUCUGACGGAGCAACGCCGCGUGAGUGAUGAAGGCUUUCGGGUCGUAAAACUCUGUUGUUAGGGAAGAACAAGUACGAGAGUAACUGCUCGUACCUUGACGGUACCUAACCAGAAAGCCACGGCUAACUACGUGCCAGCAGCCGCGGUAAUACGUAGGUGGCAAGCGUUAUCCGGAAUUAUUGGGCGUAAAGCGCGCGCAGGCGGUUUCUUAAGUCUGAUGUGAAAGCCCACGGCUCAACCGUGGAGGGUCAUUGGAAACUGGGGAACUUGAGUGCAGAAGAGAAAAGCGGAAUUCCACGUGUAGCGGUGAAAUGCGUAGAGAUGUGGAGGAACACCAGUGGCGAAGCGGCUUUUUGGUCUGUAACUGACGCUGAGCGCGAAAGCGUGGGGAGCAAACAGGAUAGAUACCCUGGU